RNAcentral lists this ribosomal RNA (497 nucleotides) under uncultured bacterium. RNAcentral describes it as "partial 16S ribosomal RNA". It matches the Rfam family "Bacterial small subunit ribosomal RNA", at positions 28 to 507 of the family's 1533-position model. The record is from RNAcentral.
GAUGAACGCUGGCGGCGUGCCUAAUACAUGCAAGUCGAGCGAACGGACGAGAAUCUUGCUUCUCUGAUGUUAGCGGCGGACGGGUGAGUAACACGUGGAUAACCUACCUAUAAGACUGGGAUAACUUCGGGAAACCGGAGCUAAUACCGGAUAAUAUUUUGAACCGCAUGGUUCAAAAGUGAAAGACGGUCUUGCUGUCACUUAUAGAUGGAUCCGCGCUGCAUUAGAUAGUUGGUAAGGUGACGGCUUACCAAGGCAACGAUGGAUAGCCGACCUGAGAGGGUGAUCGGCCACACUGGAACUGAGACACGGUCCAGACUCCUACGGGAGGCAGCAGUAGGGAAUCUUCCGCAAUGGGAGAAAGCCUGACGGAGCAACGCCGCGUGAGUGAUGAAGGUCUUCGGAUCGUAAAACUCUGUUAUUAGGGAAGAACAUAUGUGUAAGUAACUGUGCACAUCUUGACGGUACCUAAUCAGAAAGCCACGGCUAACUACGUG